AUGACAAACGAGUGGGCUCGCCAACCGGGCGCUUCAGUCGAGAAAGUCAUAAGUGCCGAAGUCGGGGUCUCUGUGGAAGGCGGAGGCUUGCAGGGGAGCGGGCAGCCGGGCUGGACAGCAGAGCGCGGAGCAGCCCGGAUGCUGCCGUGUGACCGAGUCGUGCCUCGGGCGGGCUCCUGGCUCCGUCCCCGCCAGGCCCGCUGCUGUCAGCCGGUCGCAGUGGGAGCCUGGGCCAGGCUUGGCGACAGCUCCCAGGGGUCACUGGGGUGCAGGAGAGAGGCCUUUCCACCUCGCCCCCUCCACGAAGCCUCAGCUUCAGUCUGCUCCUCACCCAGGACACGGUCCCCGAAGCACCCAAUGAGGACUUCAGCGUGACGAGGGUUAUGCGGCUUUUCAAAUGCCAGAUGUUUUGUUCCCCCGCGUGGACCACAGCUCAUCAUGAAGAACCCUGGACUGGGAAUAGGAGGCCUGAGCUCCUGCCCCAGUUCCAACUCGUGGUGGUUCCAGGCCUCUCUCGCCUGUGAUUUAACCUGUUGAACAGGAUCAGAAGAGCUUCUGCACCAGGCAGCGUGACAAUACCUGGGAUGGACGUGACAAAGGCCCAGGCCUGUGGUCCUGCCCCUCCUUCUGUCCGUAUCUACCCAGAACAAGUGAAAACAUAUGUUCACACAAAAACUCAUACACCAAUUUCAUAGCAGCAUUAUUUAUAGGAGCCUGAAAGUGGAAACCACCCGAACGUCCAUCAACUGACGAAUGGGUAAAUACAACGUGGUACAGGCACGAGAUGGAAUAUUACUCAGUCCUGAAAAAGAAUGAGGUACGGACACGUCCGAUAGAGAGGGACUUGGAAAACGUCACACCAAGUGGAAGAAGCCAGUGCCCGGGCCCCCAGGGCAUGGUUCCAUCCACGUGGAAGGUCCAGGGCAGGAGCAUCCACAGGGACGGCAAGCAGAGGAGUGGCUGCUGGGUCUGCGUAGGACUGGAGAGGGCUCAGGGAGUGAGGGUGAUGAAAAUGUUCCAAAAUUAAAUUAUGGGGAUGGCCGCACAAUUCUGUUAAUUAUGCUGAAAAAUCAUGGAGUGUUACACUUCAAAUGGGUGAACUUCAUGAUGUGUAAACUACACACCAAUAAAGCUCUUUAAAAAUGUCUCUGGGUGUCCUGAGUUUAAUCUAGAAAUGCUACUUGUGCUCCUCCUUCCCUCUCUCCCCCGAUCUUCAGGGCCUUCUUCUCCCUCUGAGAACAUACAGAGGUAACGGGCCUCCUUCUCCUUCCUGAGGUGCGAGGGCACUGUUUGAUGUGUGGGAAGGAAUAGGGAAGCUCUAGGGAGUCCGGAUGCCACCCUGCCUGACCUCCGACAGCCACGGGAGCUCCCCUGCCUUGAUUUACCCUUCUGCCCACUGCAGGGAGAGGAAGCAGGGGAUCCCGGCCCUUGCAUCCUGCAGAUGGUGUCUGGGGAGUCCGGGAAGGUGGGGAGCCUGUCUUGGUCAGGAUGGGGUGGCUGGGCAGGGAGCUCUAUUGAGUCUGUUAAGUGAUGGAGCCCACUCGGCGUCUCCAGGUGGUGUAGGGGGGCAGGUGGGCUGCCCAGAGGUACCACUCUGGCUGCAAUCGGGCCGGAGAAGCCAAGCAGUCCGUGGCUGGCGCCCUGUGGGCUAGGGUCAGGGGCGGG
RNAcentral lists this long non-coding RNA (1665 nucleotides) under Canis lupus familiaris (dog). Its description in RNAcentral is "lncRNA (ENSCAFG00030003125.1)". Lineage: Eukaryota; Metazoa; Chordata; Mammalia; Carnivora; Canidae. The record is from RNAcentral.